CGACCGGCGCACGGGUGAGUAACGCGUAUCCAACCUUCCCAUUACUGUGGGAUAACCUGCCGAAAGGCAGACUAAUACCGCAUAGUCUUCGAUGACGGCAUCAGAUUUGAAGUAAAGAUUUAUCGGUAAUGGAUGGGGAUGCGUCUGAUUAGCUUGUUGGCGGGGUAACGGCCCACCAAGGCGACGAUCAGUAGGGGUUCUGAGAGGAAGGUCCCCCACAUUGGAACUGAGACACGGUCCAAACUCCUAAGGGAGGCAGCAGCC
RNAcentral lists this ribosomal RNA (264 nucleotides) under uncultured Prevotella sp. RNAcentral describes it as "partial 16S ribosomal RNA". It matches the Rfam family "Bacterial small subunit ribosomal RNA", at positions 92 to 355 of the family's 1533-position model. The record is from RNAcentral. Lineage: Bacteria; Pseudomonadati; Bacteroidota; Bacteroidia; Bacteroidales; Prevotellaceae.